This 1120-nucleotide long non-coding RNA is filed under the name Ictidomys tridecemlineatus (thirteen-lined ground squirrel). RNAcentral's name for it is "lncRNA (ENSSTOG00000030268.1)". Lineage: Eukaryota; Metazoa; Chordata; Mammalia; Rodentia; Sciuridae. The record is from RNAcentral.
UCCACUAGAAGAGGAUAAGGAUUCUAAAAACAGGAAAGUGAUAAAUGCCGCAUAAUUCCGUAAAGAUCACAGUUAGCUUAAUGUCUUUGUGAAGCAACUAUCACAAAUGAUGUGGGAGGAUUUAGCUGUAAAAUUGCUUGAAAAGCAGAAUGUGAUCUGAGACAGGCAGCCUAGAUUUAUGAGAAGAAACAGGCCCGUAAGUCGUGCUGGGUGGAGAUUUCCAAAGAUAUUAUAUCUAUGACGGACAACGAGCAUGCUUUGUGUGGCCGACAUCGGUGAAGAAUUCCAGAAUGUUCUCUGGAGAGAUUUAUCCUGCAGGCUGGAUUUUCCAUCUGCAUCUGCCCUGGAAGCACAGGAAAAUGGAGCGAGUUCUCUAUUGGUCCACGCAACGGCAAGUCAAACCCAUUUUACUCCUGCCACCUAGUGGCCAGAGGCCAACAAUACACCAAUUUAAAUGGACAGACCAGAGCUCAGGUGGGCAGGGAAACCAAAUUGUGCUCUGCGGGUUCCCACCCAGAAAGUUCAGGGACUUGCCUUCAUCUGCAAGUCUCUGAUGAGCUUGAGGUUGGCUCGAACACUUACUCAAGGGCUGGUCCUAGCUGGUCACCAGAAUGACUGUGAGUGUUUUAAAAAUCCAGACGCUGAGCCGGUCUCAGCCUCCUGACUCAGAUCCCUGCACAGGGACCUAAGCAUCUAUAUUAGAGACCUGGACCCAUUGAGACCCCCAUGCUGAAUGUAGACUUUUCCAGAACACGAACCACAUGGCUCUCGAUUCCUCUGUGGAUCAGUUCCUGACAUGUGCCUGGCACUGAAAACUAAGCCUUGAUGGAAGGAUGAGUGAAUUCAGGACAUCAUGAAUGGAUGAGUGAACACGGUAAAGAUCUUUAUAAAACAGAUUUUUCAAUGGAGAUGGAAUUCACAUAACAUAAAAUUCACCAUUGGAAGGUCCACUGUUCAAUUGAGUGCAGUGGUGCACACCUGUAAUCCCAGUGGAUGGAGAGGCUGAGGCAGGAGGAUCACAAGUUCGAGACCAGCCUAAACAAUUUAGGAAGGCCCUAAACAACUUACCAAGACUCUGUCUCAAAAUAAAAAAAUAAAAUAAAAAGGGCUGGACAUGUGG